GAUCUCACGCGCUAACUGCUC
Molecule: non-coding RNA, 21 nt
Filed under: Arabidopsis thaliana (thale cress)
Lineage: Eukaryota; Viridiplantae; Streptophyta; Magnoliopsida; Brassicales; Brassicaceae
Source: RNAcentral